Long non-coding RNA from Nylanderia fulva, 333 nucleotides. RefSeq lists it as uncharacterized. The record is from RefSeq and is a predicted model, not a curated record. NCBI's taxonomy places the organism in Eukaryota, Metazoa, Arthropoda, Insecta, Hymenoptera, Formicidae.
UCCAUUCUUUCAGGCACAUAAUGCGUAGGAAUAGCGAGCCACGGUAAAUCCGGAUUCCACAUUUGUAACGCAUCUGGAGGAUAUAAUCCUGCUAACAUUAAUUGGAGAGACGAUUUUGUGCGAUCAGUAUCUGAGCUGACAGCAUAGAUAUCACGUGGAUGAUAAAUUGGUCCCAAAAACUCGUUGUAACGUUGUCGCAACAUUGUACCAAUUCGAUAUUCCGUCAGCUUUCCUUGCUGCAAGAUUACAGACACGUGUGACUGAUAACAAAGAAGAUAAAUAUUUAGUUAUGUAAUAUUUAAUGUAAAGCAACAUUAAAAACAUAUGCGCAAA